GGGCCAUGACGAUUCUUGUGCCUUUGUGAUGUACGGGUUCAUCACGAUCAUCUGAAUCAACAGAUGAGAUCGGCACUACUGAGCUC
This is a non-coding RNA of Morus notabilis, 86 nucleotides long. Lineage: Eukaryota; Viridiplantae; Streptophyta; Magnoliopsida; Rosales; Moraceae. The record is from Rfam.